Molecule: long non-coding RNA, 312 nt
Filed under: Scleropages formosus (Asian bonytongue)
Lineage: Eukaryota; Metazoa; Chordata; Actinopteri; Osteoglossiformes; Osteoglossidae
Description: lncRNA (ENSSFOG00015032887.1)
Source: RNAcentral
AUUGGAUAUGAGAUCAGAAAGCUUUUACAAUUGAAAUCAAUUACUCGGUUAUUACAGCAUUAAACACCAUUUGAUGAUCUUUUCUGAUCACGAACAGCCACUUAUUGGAAUUUCUGACAAUUUCCACCCAUGGCACUUUUCAUCUCAUUGUCGGCUUCAACCCGCCCCUGGUUCCAUAAUGGACAAGAAGAGAGAAGAAUUUACAGAAAACGUCUCUGCCCUGUGCCAGCAGACGGUCCCUGGGACGAGUCCAGCACCACAGACACACCACCGUGGGCCUCCGAGGGCCGUAUGACCCGCAAUGCCGCGCGC